Molecule: ribosomal RNA, 359 nt
Filed under: uncultured Streptococcus sp.
Lineage: Bacteria; Bacillati; Bacillota; Bacilli; Lactobacillales; Streptococcaceae
Description: bacterial SSU rRNA
Rfam family: Bacterial small subunit ribosomal RNA
Source: RNAcentral
CGGUACAUCGGUGACAGGUGGUGCAUGGUUGUCGUCAGCUCGUGUCGUGAGAUGUGGGUUAAGUCCCGCAACGAGCGCAACCCCUAUUGUUAGUUGCCAUCAUUCAGUUGGGCACUCUAGCGAGACUGCCGGUAAUAAACCGGAGGAAGGUGGGGAUGACGUCAAAUCAUCAUGCCCCUUAUGACCUGGGCUACACACGUGCUACAAUGGUUGGUACAACGAGUUGCGAGUCGGUGACGGCGAGCUAAUCUCUUAAAGCCAAUCUCAGUUCGGAUUGUAGGCUGCAACUCGCCUACAUGAAGUCGGAAUCGCUAGUAAUCGCGGAUCAGCACGCCGCGGUGAAUACGUUCCCGGGCCUU